UUUUAAAUAAACUUAGCUGAAAAUGUGCUACAACUAGGCUUCGAAUCUGGGAUCUCGGGUACCACCCACCAAGCUCUUUGCCACUUGCCCUAGAGACGGUCGGUGCACACGAGUAAUUUCUUAUAUAUUGCUAUUUAAUUUUUUUUUUUUCAAAUUUAUCCUUUAUUUUCUAAAUGCCCUCUAAAUUUUCAAAUCUCCUCAAACCCUCAAGAGCAAAAGUAUAAUUUGAAAAAAGAAACUUUCGCUUUUUUAUCCUUGACUGUUAUUCAAAAUUUUUUAAAUUGAUCUAAAAAUUACCAAAAUAUUUUUCUAAAUCCCAAACCUAUUAGAAAAACCUAAGUAUUUGGAAAUAUUUGAAGGGGUUUUUGAAAAUCAAGUAUAUUAGAUAUUUUAAAAUUUUAAAGAGUAUAUUAGGUAUUAUCUUUUUUAAAAAAUAGCGUUUUUAGGAAUAAUUUGACAAUAAAAAAUAAUUUAAAAAAACAAGAAUAUAUAAUUGUGAAGUUUUGAAGGAUGCAGAAAUUUCUAUCGUGUACUGCAGGGAGUCAGAAAAAAUUCUGUAAUGCACCGGUAAUAUUAGUUACAUGGUAUUUUCAAUC
RNAcentral lists this long non-coding RNA (596 nucleotides) under Ananas comosus (pineapple). RNAcentral's name for it is "long non-coding RNA (ACOM_LNC024050)". Lineage: Eukaryota; Viridiplantae; Streptophyta; Magnoliopsida; Poales; Bromeliaceae. The record is from RNAcentral.